RNAcentral lists this ribosomal RNA (876 nucleotides) under uncultured archaeon. RNAcentral's name for it is "bacterial SSU rRNA". It matches the Rfam family "Archaeal small subunit ribosomal RNA", at positions 1 to 880 of the family's 1478-position model. The record is from RNAcentral.
GUCCGGUUGAUCCUGCCGGCGGUCACCGCUCUUGGAAUCCGAUUAAGCCAUGUGAGUCGAGAGGGUUCGGCCCUCGGCAAACUGCUCAGUAACACGUGGAUAACCUAACCUAAGGUGGGAGAUAAUCUCGGAAAACUGAGGCUAAUACCCCAUAGACCUUGAUGACUGGAAUGUUUUGAGGUUGAAAGUUACGACGCCUUAGGAUGGGUCUGCGGCCUAUCAGGUUGUAGUUAGUGUAAAGGACUAACUAGCCGACGACGGGUACGGGCCAUGGGAGUGGUUGCCCGGAGAUGGAUCUCUGAGACACGAGUCCAGGCCCUACGGGGCGCAGCAGGCGCGAAAACUUUGCAAUGCGCGAAAGCGCGACAAGGGGAUUCCAAGUGCAUGCACUAAGUGUAUGCUUUUCGUGAGUGUAAAAAGCUCACGGAAUAAGGGCUGGGUAAGACUGGUGCCAGCCGCCGCGGUAACACCAGCGGCUCGAGUGGUGGCCUUUUUUAUUGAGCUUAAAGCGUCCGUAGCCGGUCCAGUAAAUCUCUGGGUAAAUCGAACGGCUUAACCGUUCGACUUCCAGAGACACUGUUGGACUUGGGGCCGGGAGAGGCCAGAGGGUACUCUCGGGGUAGAAGUAAAAUUCUGUAAUCCCGAUAGGACCACCAGUGGCGAAGGCGUCUGGCUAGAACGGACUCGACGGUGAGGGACGAAGCCCGUGGGGCGCGAACCGGAUUAGAUACCCGGGUAGUCCAGGGUGUAAACGAUGCGGGCUUGGGUGUCGACAGUCUUACGCGGGCAGUCGGUGCCGUAGAGAAAUUGUUAAGCCCGCCGCUUGGGGAGUACGGCCGCAAGGCUGAAACUUAAAGGAAUUGGCGGGGAAGCACC